The sequence is a transfer RNA, 83 nucleotides long. It matches the Rfam family "tRNA". From Rfam's summary of the family: Transfer RNA (tRNA) molecules are approximately 80 nucleotides in length. Their secondary structure includes four short double-helical elements and three loops (D, anti-codon, and T loops). The record is from Rfam.
GGGCAAUUAGCUCAGUUGGUAGAGCGUUCGCUUUGCAUGCCUCAGACUGCGAAAGGUCGUGAUUUCGAUUAUCACAUUGUCCA